RNAcentral lists this ribosomal RNA (547 nucleotides) under uncultured bacterium. RNAcentral's name for it is "bacterial SSU rRNA". It matches the Rfam family "Bacterial small subunit ribosomal RNA", at positions 355 to 896 of the family's 1533-position model. The record is from RNAcentral.
UAGGGAAUUUUUCACAAUGAGCGAAAGCUUGAUGGAGCAAUGCCGCGUGAACGAUGAAGGUCUUUAAGAUUGUAAAGUUCUUUUAUUUGGGAAGAAUGACUUUAGCAGGUAAUGGCUAGAGUUUGACUGUACCAUUUUGAAUAAGUGACGACUAACUAUGUGCCAGCAGUCGCGGUAAUACAUAGGUCGCAAGCGUUAUCCGGAUUUAUUGGGCGCAAAGCAAGCGCAGGCGGAUUGAAAAGUCUGGUGUUAAAGGCAGCUGCUUAACAGUUGUAUGCAUUGGAAACUAUUAAUCUAGAGUGUGGUAGGGAGUUUUGGAAUUUCAUGUGGAGCGGUGAAAUGCGUAGAUAUAUGAAGGAACACCAGUGGCGAAGGCGAAAACUUAGGCCAUUACUGACGCUUAGGCUUGAAAGUGUGGGGAGCAAAUAGGAUUAGAUACCCUAGUAGUCCACACCGUAAACGAUAGAUACUAGCUGUCGGGGCGAUCCCCUCGGUAGUGAAGUUAACACAUUAAGUAUCUCGCCUGGGUAGUACAUUCGCAAGAAUG